RNAcentral lists this transfer RNA (80 nucleotides) under Thermothielavioides terrestris NRRL 8126. Its description in RNAcentral is "Thielavia terrestris NRRL 8126 tRNA". It matches the Rfam family "tRNA". Rfam says of the family: Transfer RNA (tRNA) molecules are approximately 80 nucleotides in length. The record is from Rfam by way of RNAcentral. Lineage: Eukaryota; Fungi; Ascomycota; Sordariomycetes; Sordariales; Chaetomiaceae.
GCGGCCUUGGUGUAGUGGUUAGCAUUGUUGCCUUCCAUCCGACAAAGCAACAGAGGGGGGUUCGAUUCCCCCAGGUCGCA